AGAUCCAUAGUUCAGUGGUUAGAACACUGGUCUUGUAAGCCAGGGGUCGCGAGUUCGACCCUCGCUGGGGCCU
Non-coding RNA from Galeopterus variegatus (Sunda flying lemur), 73 nucleotides. NCBI's taxonomy places the organism in Eukaryota, Metazoa, Chordata, Mammalia, Dermoptera, Cynocephalidae. The record is from the annotation of a RefSeq genome assembly.